Molecule: ribosomal RNA, 562 nt
Filed under: uncultured bacterium
Lineage: Bacteria
Description: bacterial SSU rRNA
Rfam family: Bacterial small subunit ribosomal RNA
Source: RNAcentral
CCUACGGGAGGCAGCAGUGGGGAAUCUUGCGCAAUGGGCGAAAGCCUGACGCAGCAACGCCGCGUGCGGGAAGAAGGCUUUCGGGCUGUAAACCGCUUUCAGCAGGAACGAAAAUGACGGUACCUGCAGAAGAAGGAGCGGCCAACUAUGUGCCAGCAGCCGCGGUGAUACAUAGGCUUCAAGCGUUGUCCGGAUUUAUUGGGCGUAAAGAGUUCGUAGGCGGUCGAGUAAGUCGGGUGUGAAAAUUCUGGGCUCAACCCAGAGACGCCACCCGAUACUGCUUGACUUGAGUUCGAUAGGGGAGUGGGGAAUUCCUAGUGUAGCGGUGAAAUGCGCAGAUAUUAGGAGGAACACCGGUGGCGAAGGCGCCACUCUGGAUCGAUACUGACGCUGAGGAACGAAAGCAUGGGUAGCAAACAGGAUUAGAUACCCUGGUAGUCCAUGCCGUAAACGGUGGGCACUAGGUGUGGGUUUCUAUUAACGAAAUCCGCGCCGUCGCUAACGCAUUAAGUGCCCCGCCUGGGGAGUACGGUCGCAAGACUAAAACUCAAAGGAUUGACGG